RNAcentral lists this ribosomal RNA (218 nucleotides) under Staphylococcus sp. RNAcentral's name for it is "partial 16S ribosomal RNA". It matches the Rfam family "Bacterial small subunit ribosomal RNA", at positions 452 to 673 of the family's 1533-position model. The record is from RNAcentral. Lineage: Bacteria; Bacillati; Bacillota; Bacilli; Caryophanales; Staphylococcaceae.
AACUGAACAAGUUUUGACGGUACCUAACCAGAAAGCCACGGAUAAUUACGUGCCAGCAGCCGCGGUAAUAAGUAGGUGGCAAGCGUUAUCCGGAAUUAUUGGGCGUAAAGCGCGCGUAGGCGGUUUCUUAAGUCUGAUGUGAAAGCCCACGGCUCAACCGUGGAGGGUCAUUGGAAACUGGGAAACUUGAGUGCAGAAGAGGAGAGUGGAAUUCCAUG